This 512-nucleotide ribosomal RNA is filed under the name uncultured Bacillota bacterium. RNAcentral's name for it is "bacterial SSU rRNA". It matches the Rfam family "Bacterial small subunit ribosomal RNA", at positions 393 to 896 of the family's 1533-position model. The record is from RNAcentral. Lineage: Bacteria; Bacillati; Bacillota.
AACGCCGCGUGAGCGAUGAAGGCCUUCGGGUCGUAAAGCUCUGUUGUCAGGGAAGAACAAGUACCGGAGUAACUGCCGGUACCUUGACGGUACCUGACCAGAAAGCCACGGCUAACUACGUGCCAGCAGCCGCGGUAAUACGUAGGUGGCAAGCGUUGUCCGGAAUUAUUGGGCGUAAAGCGCGCGCAGGCGGUUCCUUAAGUCUGAUGUGAAAGCCCCCGGCUCAACCGGGGAGGGUCAUUGGAAACUGGGGAACUUGAGUGCAGAAGAGGAGAGCGGAAUUCCACGUGUAGCGGUGAAAUGCGUAGAGAUGUGGAGGAACACCAGUGGCGAAGGCGGCUCUCUGGUCUGUAACUGACGCUGAGGCGCGAAAGCGUGGGGAGCGAACAGGAUUAGAUACCCUGGUAGUCCACGCCGUAAACGAUGAGUGCUAAGUGUUAGAGGGUUUCCGCCCUUUAGUGCUGCAGCAAACGCAUUAAGCACUCCGCCUGGGGAGUACGGCCGCAAGGCUG